UUGGAGGUAGGGUUAUAGAUACUUGUUUGC
RNAcentral lists this non-coding RNA (30 nucleotides) under Rattus norvegicus (Norway rat). Lineage: Eukaryota; Metazoa; Chordata; Mammalia; Rodentia; Muridae. The record is from RNAcentral.